Molecule: non-coding RNA, 27 nt
Filed under: Drosophila yakuba
Lineage: Eukaryota; Metazoa; Arthropoda; Insecta; Diptera; Drosophilidae
Also listed under: 33 other names
Source: RNAcentral
GUAGGUGAACCUGCGGAGGGAUCAUUA